AGUUGAAAAAUACACUUUUCCCCUGUUUUUUUUUCUAUUUUGAGAAUAAAAGUAUUUAACAGAUAUUCCUGAGCUACUUGGUGCAUUUCCUCCACCUUAUGCCGUUUUGAAUUUAUGAUUCAAUAUCUCAAAAUGACAGAGAGAGUCAAAAAUGACAUUCAGAUGGAAUUGUAGACGACACUUUGGGGGUUCACCACCUGGUAGUUGGGACAUGGUACUACAACUUAAAUGGUUCAAAAUGGCUUCCAAAUAUCUGUCCACUGUAGUGGACACCAUGCAUGAAAGGGUUAAAGCUGUAUUACCUAACAAUAAUAUAUCAUGGAUAAAAAUAAAAGCAGACAUUGUUCUCUGUUCUAUGAUAUGAAUAUGAAUUGAUGAGCUAGCAUGCAUGAACACAGGUAUGUUCAUUUUGGUGCUGAUAUACAAUAAAGUAAUAUUGCAGUUUGCUUCAUCGUCAUGUGUGAGUGACUCUUAAAUGAGCCGUUUUGUUUGGACUUGUGCACUAAACGGUGUCUUGCUAUGGGACACUUUCCUCUGUAGAGAAGUAGGAUGCGAACCUUUCUAAACCUGAUGGCCUCUUUUACUGAGUUGUUGGGUUGUCCUCCACAGGAGGUUAUGGAGAACACAGGUCGCCUUCACACAUUUCUCCACAAGUUCUGGAUGGACCUCAAUGGCACCUCUGUACAUCCUCCACUGGGAGUAAAGGAUCCCAGAGACAUUCUCCACAACUAGCUGAGCUCGGGACAGAUGGUAAUUGAAAACCUGACACUCUCUUAGAAGGACGCGCCAGGAGAACGGCUUCAUGAGGUUUUUUCCGGAGUGCAAAGCCCUCAUCAGCAACAAAGACAUGUGGGUGGAGUCGUCGGUGGUCAGCUCCUGAUGGUGGCAGGUCAGCAGGCAGUUGGAAGGUACCAGAUUGAAGCGCUUGACCAAAAGCUGAGUUGGCGAGAAUCCUACUAUCGCUUGCUCUUCCGUAACGACACCAGUCACGCAGAAACAAUACUGGGCAUCCACAACUGCCAACAUCAGGGACGAUCUUGGAGACAGUGGAGACCCCGAUAUGAAAGCUGUUAGUGACGGUCCUGAAUGAGUCACCAGUGGUUACGUAUCUGUAGCAUAGAAAACAAUUAAUUUAACUGAGUUGUAGAUUUUGUAGGUGGUACUCUACAUGAAAUCUGUUUACAUUAUUGUGGUAGAUAAAAGAAGAGCUACUUUCACUUUGAAAAGUUCAAUACUUAUAAAUCCAUUAUUCAUAAAAUACACCAAGAGUAAAGACAAUACAGUUUCUUCUGUACUGGUUAUACUGGUUUUAACUUAAUGUGUAGUAACUUAGAAGGAAUGUACUAACUUGUUAUGUGUGGAUAAAAAAAAUUGGCAAUAGACCAACUUAACAGUAAAUUAGCCAUGUUAAUGUAACGUUGUUCACAGGAAACAACGCGUCUUUAUCUAUACACAAUUUCUCAUACUGCUGUAAUAAACCAGAUUAAUUCAGCCAACGUUUGACUUGCUAGAUACAGUGAAUAUUUAUUGAUUUUGACACACCAGUUAUGAAACCGCCCCUCAUAGACGACAUAGAGACAGAUGGACAGGCGAGCUGCAGCUGAGACGACACGGUUGGUGUCCAUCCGAGAAAUCCUGGCACCGAUCCUAACUAACAGGUCAUCGAACUGGACCCUGGUCGGCUUUAAGUAGCGCUGGAAGUGGCAGUGAUCCAGACGCAGUUCCUGGAGAAGGAGAUUUAAAACUGAUCGUGUGGAAGAGGCGGGGAGACACUGCAGAUGAGUGAGUAUUGAUGAGCAUCUCUCAGACCAUCUGGCUCACAAGGUGUCGACACGCUUCACUGUGUUUGAAGCUGAACUGAAGCUUCAGAAAGAGUCUGUUAAGACCAGCUGAGGACGGCAGAGAGAGAGAGAGAGAGAGCCUGAAGCUCGCGGCGGGUUGGACACGAAGAGCGGCGUGAAUGUGAAACACAUUAACAGCUGCAUUAAUGAUGAGCUCAGAGAUGCAGCAGGCGCUCGUUCCUACAGGCACUGCAGCCUUUGAUGGCAGCGUUUAAAAGCAAACUCCAGCCGCGGAUCCUCUACUGCUGCUGCUGCUGCUGACGAUGAGGUGACAGAGUGAGGAGAUGGGGGUCACAGUGGGCUCAUCAACCUGACAAUUUUCUCCAGUGAUCCCAGCUUGAUGAAAUCUGCACCUCCGGCUGUCUGGUGGCUCUUGUUUUUCUUUCUUGGGAAGAAGUUAAAAGGAAAAAGAAGCAGUUUCAUCACUCGGAGGAAGACGAGCUGCUGGAGAGUCGAGCCAAACCUGGAACGAAACAUCGCUGCUGAAAAACUCUCUGAGAUGAGAAGCGAUGAUGAGGAGCUGCCAACAUCUGGCUGGGUUUUGUGCUGUGCUAAUGGAUCAAUAUCAGUCACAAUAAACAAAAACAGUAUUGGAAACAAGGCAGUGAUGUAACUAAUUAAUAGGUCAAAUAAUAAAGUAACAACGAUACUGCUGACCUGUUCUGGAGCUCCCUGAUGUGCUGCCAGCAAUUAUUAUUAUUGUUGCAUUUGCAUUUUUUAUUUUUACUUGUAGCAGGAUGAAAAAAACAGCAAAGUAAUGUGAAACCAUUACCAGCUGUGGGCCUGACUCAGUUUAGAAACUGUUUUCCAGCAGGUUUCCUUCAUAUAUAUAU
Long non-coding RNA from Thunnus maccoyii (southern bluefin tuna), 2674 nucleotides. RefSeq lists it as uncharacterized. NCBI's taxonomy places the organism in Eukaryota, Metazoa, Chordata, Actinopteri, Scombriformes, Scombridae. The record is from RefSeq and is a predicted model, not a curated record. The transcript is spliced from 5 exons.